Molecule: long non-coding RNA, 932 nt
Filed under: Ornithorhynchus anatinus (platypus)
Lineage: Eukaryota; Metazoa; Chordata; Mammalia; Monotremata; Ornithorhynchidae
Description: lncRNA (ENSOANG00000041235.1)
Source: RNAcentral
AAAGUAUCAUUCCUUCAGAGCUCCAAGGCAACCAUGCUGUACCUGCCCACUGGAAAGUGGGCGGGGAUUAGGCCAGAAUCACUAAAAAGUUGUCUUUUCCUCUCUUGGGCUCUCUCCGGGCCCCUUUUCUUUUCUCCUCCUCUCCCUGCUUAUUUCCCCUCCUUCCAUUCUUACUCUUUUUCAGUGGGCUUGUCUGCCUCUCUCAAAUGAAGAUCUCCAUGUACCCUCAGGGGGAAAUCCAUUACAAAGCCACCAACCUCAGGCCUGAGGGUGCCAGAGGAAUCUAUAUCAAUCACAUCUAUUGAGUGCUUACUGUGAGCAUCGUACUAAGCGCUUGGAAUGGAAAAUAUAAUAGAGUUGGUAGACAAGUUCCCUGCCCAAACUGUCAUUUCCUGUGGUCCACCCCUCCUACCAAAUCACAUCCCCAGGCCUUCACUUCCUGCCCCAUGACAUCCUAUGUCUCCCAUCCUGUCCAAUCACAUUCAGCUGCUCCCUUUCUGGUGCCCCCUCAGAGCCCUGCCCCAAACCCAGGGGGAUUCCUAACCAACUGCCAAACCAUGACACGAGUUCCGGACUCCCCAACCAUACCCCCUGACUAGUUCUGAUGCCCUCUGCAACAGUUGGACAACUCCCUGAGCUGGUACAGGGCCAUGCAGCCCCGAGGGUUGGGGAGGAUAGGGAGGAAAAAGAAGAAUCGGGCUACUAGUGCCAAUCUACCUGGGCUCGAGUACAAGAUCUCUCAACUGACCAAUCCAGGCCCGAAGCCCAAUUCAUCUCGGACAGGCGGCUGCAGUCAAAAUGAAAGAAAGGGUUCUGAUGAAGCAGAGAGGAAGAGUUUCUCAGAAACCCAGCCAGGAGCCCGAGCCUCAUCUGCCCACUCCAGGAGCCAGAAGGGAGGGGUGACCGAUAAUGCUGGCAAUAACUGGGAAUAA